GGCUUCGUAGCUCAGUUGGCAAGAGCGUUGGCUUUACUAAUGCCCUCCCCUUGAUUGAGUGGGUUCGAAUCCCACCGAGGGCG
This 83-nucleotide transfer RNA is filed under the name Schistocephalus solidus. It matches the Rfam family "tRNA". Rfam says of the family: Transfer RNA (tRNA) molecules are approximately 80 nucleotides in length. Lineage: Eukaryota; Metazoa; Platyhelminthes; Cestoda; Diphyllobothriidea; Diphyllobothriidae. The record is from Rfam by way of RNAcentral.